GACGAACGCUGGCGGCGUGCUUAACACAUGCAAGUCGAACGCUGAAGCUCAGCUUUUGUUGGGUGGAUGAGUGGCGAACGGGUGAGUAACACGUGAGUAACCUGCCUCCUUCUUUGGGAUAACGCCCGGAAACGGGUGCUAAUACUGGAUAUUCACUGGUCUUCGCAUGGGGGUUGGUGGAAAGGGUUUUUCUGGUGUGGGAUGUGCUCGCGGCCUAUCAGCUUGUUGGUGGGGUGAUGGCCUACCAAGGCUUUGACGGGUAGCCGGCCUGAGAGGGUGACCGGGCACAUUGGGACUGAGAUACGGCCCAGACUCCGACGGGAGGCAGCAGUGGGGAAUAUGGCACAAUGGGCGCAAGCCUGAUGCAGCGACGCCGCGUGAGGGAUGGAGGCCUUCGGGUUGUGAACCUCUUUCGCUCAUGGUCAAGCCGCAACAAUGGUUGUGGUGAGGGUAGUGGGUAAAGAAGCGCCGGCUAACUACGUG
This 483-nucleotide ribosomal RNA is filed under the name uncultured bacterium. Its description in RNAcentral is "partial 16S ribosomal RNA". It matches the Rfam family "Bacterial small subunit ribosomal RNA", at positions 28 to 507 of the family's 1533-position model. The record is from RNAcentral.